UGAACCCUCGCGCGAAAUGAAAGUGAACGGAGGUGGGAGCCCCUCGGGGUGCACCAUCGACCGAUCCUGAUGUCUUCGGAUGGAUUUGAGUAUGAGCGUGGCUGUUGGGACCCGAAAGAUGGUGAACUUUGCAUGGAUAGGGUGAAGCCAGAGGAAACUCUGGUGGAGGCUCGCAGCGGUUCUGACGUGCAAAUCGAUCGUCAAAUCAGUGCAAAGGGGCGAAAGACUAAUCGAACCGUCUAGUAGCUGGUUCCUGCCGAAGUUUCCCUCAGGAUAGCAGUAACGAACCCAGUUUUAUGAGGUAGAGCGAAUGAUUAGAGGCCUUGGGGCUGAAACAGCCUUAACCUAUUCUCAAACUUCGAAUAUGUAAGAAGUCCUUGUUACUUAAUUGAACGUGGACGCUCGAAUGUACCGUUACUAGUGGGCCAUUUUUGGUAAGCAGAACUGGCGAUGCGGGAUGAACCGAACGCGAGGUUAAGGUGCCGGAAUGCACGCUCAUCAGACACCACAAAAGGUGUUAGUUCAUCUAGACAGCAGGACGGUGGCCAUGGAAGUCGGAACCCGCUAAGGAGUGUGUAACAACUCACCUGCCGAAUGAACUAGCCCUGAAAAUGGAUGGCGCUCAAGCGUGCUACCCAUACCUCGCCGCCGGGGCAGGAUCGAAGCCCCGGCGAGUAGGCAGGCGCGGCGGUCGGUGACGA
Molecule: ribosomal RNA, 701 nt
Filed under: Collemopsidium sp. s1410
Lineage: Eukaryota; Fungi; Ascomycota; Collemopsidiomycetes; Collemopsidiales; Xanthopyreniaceae
Description: LSU rRNA
Rfam family: Eukaryotic large subunit ribosomal RNA
Source: RNAcentral